GAUGAACGCUGGCGGCGUGCCUAAUACAUGCAAGUCGAGCGAACAGACGAGGAGCUUGCUCCUCUGACGUUAGCGGCGGACGGGUGAGUAACACGUGGAUAACCUACCUAUAAGACUGGGAUAACUUCGGGAAACCGGAGCUAAUACCGGAUAAUAUAUUGAACCGCAUGGUUCAAUAGUGAAAGACGGUUUUGCUGUCACUUAUAGAUGGAUCCGCGCCGCAUUAGCUAGUUGGUAAGGUAACGGCUUACCAAGGCAACGAUGCGUAGCCGACCUGAGGGGGGGAUCGGCCACACUGGAACUGAGACACGGUCCAGACUCCUACGGGAGGCAGAAGUAGGGAAUCUUCCGCAAUGGGCGAAAGCCUGACGGAGAAACGCCGGGUGAGUGAUGAAGGUCUUCGGAUCGUAAAACUCUUUUAUUAGGGAAAAACAAAUGUGAAAGUAACUAUGCACGUCUUGGCGGUACCUAAUCAGAAAGCCGCGGCUAACUACGU
Molecule: ribosomal RNA, 496 nt
Filed under: uncultured bacterium
Lineage: Bacteria
Description: partial 16S ribosomal RNA
Rfam family: Bacterial small subunit ribosomal RNA
Source: RNAcentral